Molecule: ribosomal RNA, 253 nt
Filed under: uncultured bacterium
Lineage: Bacteria
Description: partial 16S ribosomal RNA
Rfam family: Bacterial small subunit ribosomal RNA
Source: RNAcentral
UACAGAGGUCUCAAGCGUUGUUCGGAUUCAUUGGGCGUAAAGGGUGCGUAGGUGGCGCUGUAAGUCGGGUGUGAAAUUUCGGAGCUUAACUCCGAAACUGCAUUCGAUACUGCGGUGCUUGAGGACUGGAGAGGAGACUGGAAUUCAUGGUGUAGCAGUGAAAUGCGUAGAGAUCAUGAGGAAGACCAGUUGCGAAGGCGGAUCUCUGGGCAGUUCCUGACACUGAGGCACGAAGGUCAGGGGAGCAAACGGG